CCUACGGGAGGCAGCAGUGGGGAAUAUUGCACAAUGGGGGAAACCCUGAUGCAGCGACGCCGCGUUAGUGAAGAAGUAUUUCGGUAUGUAAAGCUCUAUCAGCAGGGAAGAAAAUGACGGUACCUGAUUAAGAAGCCCCGGCUAACUACGUGCCAGCAGCCGCGGUAAUACGUAGGGGGCAAGCGUUAUCCGGAUUUACUGGGUGUAAGGGGAGCGUAGGCGGCAGCACAAGUCUGGAGUGAAAUGCCGGGGCUUAACCCCGGAACUGCUUUGGAAACUGUGCAGCUAGAGUGCAGGAGAGGUAAGUGGAAUUCCUGGUGUAGCGGUGAAAUGCGUAGAGAUUAGGAGGAACACCAGUGGCGAAGGCGGCUUACUGGACUGUAACUGACGUUGAGGCACGAAAGCGUGGGGAGCAAACAGGAUUAGAUACCCCAGUAGUC
This 440-nucleotide ribosomal RNA is filed under the name uncultured bacterium. RNAcentral's name for it is "partial 16S ribosomal RNA". It matches the Rfam family "Bacterial small subunit ribosomal RNA", at positions 338 to 795 of the family's 1533-position model. The record is from RNAcentral.